UGUGUGUGUGUGUGUGUGUGUGUGUGUGUGUGUGUGUGUGUGUGUGUGUGUGUGCGCGCGCACGUGUCCUCAGGUUGCAAGUGAAUGAAGCGGAUACAUUCUGUUAAAAUGUGUGUGCUUCUGAUGUCAGAUGAGGACGUGGAGUCCUUUUUUUUCUGCUGAGUGAAGUGUGAAAGCCCCGUGGGCUAAGCUGGGAGGAUGUUUGAUGGCUGACCGAGGGGAACGGUGUAUUUAACACCGCCGAGAGUUGAGCAUGAGCAGGGGCUUAAUGAUGGGAUGAGCGCUAAUUCAGCGCCCAGCGCCUGCCAGCUAUCGGGCACCUGCGGAGCCCAGCGUCACUCAGAGAGGAUCCGUGUCCCUCCAUCUCACACUCACACCGCUGAACGUCAAAGGUACUUUCUACAAAAUGGCCUCAGAUGGCUAUCAUGCUCUCUCACACACUUUUUCCCAUGGAGCUUAGUGAGACCAUUUGAAAUGUUUGUGGUGUGUUUUGCUGUUUCCUCUCCAUGGUGUGACCUCGGGGUUAAGUUUGUGUAUUUCCAUAAAGCAUCACAAAACACACACACACACACACAGACACACGAUUAAUCCUAGAUCUAAUCUGCCCACUUUCCUUUAUUUAUACAUUAUUGUCUCUUUAGUAACAACUUCGGCAGACACUCCACAUAUAUGGUUUUAAAAAAAAAUUGUGUAACUGUUGUUAUAGUGAGUUUUCUGUAAGGACAUUUACGGAAGGAGUCUCCAGUGUCAGAGUCAGUAAAGCUGUAACUUUACGUUUUCAGACAUCUUCAGGACAGAGGAGUUUACACUUUGCAGUUUCUCAGUAACAUGACAAGCUUAGUUUUUUUAUAUUAUUAAGAGAGCGAUAAAAAGAUACUGAGACUGUUUAUAGCUGCUGUAACAUAAGUGAGAACAGGCACUAACUUGAUUUGUGUACUUAAAUGUAACUAUAAAUGCAUAAAAAUAUGACAUGGCAUUCAUUAAUAAAUAACAACUUGUAAUUGUUAGCAAAUUGCUGUGUUAUAAGAGAAAUAAAACAACACAGGAUGUGCUGUUGUAGGAAAAUAAUCUACUUCAGGGUGGUACCAGUAACUGUGCGUUGCAUUUGGUUGCAUCGCACCACCUCAUCUUUGAUUAUUUUCCUACAACAGCAUGCCUCAUUGUGUUUUACUCCAUACUUAAUGUGGUGCAUCACUCUCUGGACAGUGCUAUUCAUUAAGCGUACCAUUAUUUACACUCACUAAUAACUACAUUUAGCCACUAUUGGUGAAGACAUGUACUUUGCACUCUUUGCAUUUGUUAUUAGUGACAUUCCGUUGUUGAUUUUUUAAUGUAUUUGUCCCUUUGUGCCCAAUUGAAAAUAUCCCUUUGUAAAGGUAAACCUCUUAUUCCUCAUGGAAUUAAAAAAAGGCUUGUAUUAUGCACUUUGGACUUUGGAUGCCAGUCCAUCACAGUUGAAAUCUUCAUAAAAUUAUGAUCAUUUUAAAACAUUAAAAUUUAAUUUUUUUCAUUUUA
Long non-coding RNA from Pangasianodon hypophthalmus (striped catfish), 1515 nucleotides. RefSeq lists it as uncharacterized. Lineage: Eukaryota; Metazoa; Chordata; Actinopteri; Siluriformes; Pangasiidae. The transcript is spliced from 2 exons. The record is from RefSeq and is a predicted model, not a curated record.